UACGGAGGAUGCAAGCGUUAUCCGGAAUGAUUGGGCGUAAAGCGUCCGCAGGUGGCUGUGUAAGUCUGCUGUCAAAGAGCAAAGCUCAACUUUGUGAAGGCAGUGGAAACUACACGGCUAGAGUGCGUUCGGGGCAGAGGGAAUUCCUGGUGUAGCGGUGAAAUGCGUAGAGAUCAGGAAGAACACCGGUGGCGAAGGCGCUCUGCUAGGCCGCAACUGACACUGAGGGACGAAAGCUAGGGGAGCGAAUGGG
RNAcentral lists this ribosomal RNA (253 nucleotides) under uncultured bacterium. RNAcentral describes it as "partial 16S ribosomal RNA". It matches the Rfam family "Bacterial small subunit ribosomal RNA", at positions 524 to 776 of the family's 1533-position model. The record is from RNAcentral.